UGCUUAACACAUGCAAGUCGAACGAUGAUGCCCAGCUUGCUGGGCGGAUUAGUGGCGAACGGGUGAGUAAUACGUGAGUAACCUGCCCUUGACUCUGGGAUAAGCCUGGGAAACUGGGUCUAAUACUGGAUACUACCUCUUGCCGCAUGGUGGGUGGUGGAAAGGGUUUUACUGGUUUUGGAUGGGCUCACGGCCUAUCAGCUUGUUGGUGGGGUAAUGGCUCACCAAGGCGACGACGGGUAGCCGGCCUGAGAGGGUGACCGGCCACACUGGGACUGAGACACGGCCCAGACUCCUACGGGAGGCAGCAGUGGGGAAUAUUGCACAAUGGGCGGAAGCCUGAUGCAGCGACGCCGCGUGAGGGAUGACGGCCUUCGGGUUGUAAACCUCUUUCAGUAGGGAAGAAGCGAGAGUGACGGUACCUGCAGAAGAAGCGCCGGCUAACUACGUGCCAGCAGCCGCGGUAAUACGUAGGGCGCAAGCGUUGUCCGGAAUUAUUGGGCGUAAAGAGCUCGUAGGCGGUUUGUCGCGUCUGCUGUGAAAGCCCGGGGCUCAACCCCGGGUCUGCAGUGGGUACGGGCAGACUAGAGUGCAGUAGGGGAGACUGGAAUUCCUGGUGUAGCGGUGAAAUGCGCAGAUAUCAGGAGGAACACCGAUGGCGAAGGCAGGUCUCUGGGCUGUUACUGACGCUGAGGAGCGAAAGCAUGGGGAGCGAACAGGAUUAGAUACCCUGGUAGUCCAUGCCGUAAACGUUGGGCACUAGGUGUGGGGGACAUUCCACGUUUUCCGCGCCGUAGCUAACGCAUUAAGUGCCCCGCCUGGGGAGUACGGCCGCAAGGCUAAAACUCAAAGGAAUUGACGGGGGCCCGCACAAGCGGCGGAGCAUGCGGAUUAAUUCGAUGCAACGCGAAGAACCUUACCAAGGCUUGACAUUCACCGGACCGCCCCAGAGAUGGGGUUUCCCUUCGGGGCUGGUGGACAGGUGGUGCAUGGUUGUCGUCAGCUCGUGUCGUGAGAUGUUGGGUUAAGUCCCGCAACGAGCGCAACCCUCGUUCUAUGUUGCCAGCACGUGAUGGUGGGGACUCAUAGGAGACUGCCGGGGUCAACUCGGAGGAAGGUGGGGAUGACGUCAAAUCAUCAUGCCCCUUAUGUCUUGGGCUUCACGCAUGCUACAAUGGCCGGUACAAAGGGUUGCGAUACUGUGAGGUGGAGCUAAUCCCAAAAAGCCGGUCUCAGUUCGGAUUGAGGUCUGCAACUCGACCUCAUGAAGUCGGAGUCGCUAGUAAUCGCAGAUCAGCAACGCUGCGGUGAAUACGUUCCCGGGCCUUGUACACACCGCCCGUCAAGUCACGAAAGUUGGUAACACCCGAAGCCGGUGGCCUAACCCCUUGUGGGAGGGAGCCGUCGAAGGUGGGACUGGCGA
This 1423-nucleotide ribosomal RNA is filed under the name Kocuria rosea. RNAcentral's name for it is "bacterial SSU rRNA". It matches the Rfam family "Bacterial small subunit ribosomal RNA". The record is from RNAcentral. Lineage: Bacteria; Bacillati; Actinomycetota; Actinomycetes; Micrococcales; Micrococcaceae. RNAcentral also lists the same sequence under 1 other name.